This 310-nucleotide long non-coding RNA is filed under the name Cyanistes caeruleus (blue tit). RNAcentral's name for it is "lncRNA (ENSCCEG00000015986.1)". Lineage: Eukaryota; Metazoa; Chordata; Aves; Passeriformes; Paridae. The record is from RNAcentral.
CUCACCAGUAGGAAGAUAUGACUUGUCCGCCCAAACCUUAGCUGCAGUGUAGUACUUAUAGUCCUUGCUAGCUACCUUGGAUCAAGGAUGUUUGAAAGCAGCAAUUCUGUGGGAAGUGUGGGACUGGAAAGAUAGAUUGGAGUGCUGCUGAGGAAAACAUUGUGACUGUAUGAUACUGAAGAGGGUCGUGUGCUAACCUCCCAAGAAAAGUAGAUUGAAGGGUAUGCAAACAUGGGAGAAACAACUGUGCCUAGCAUGAAACUCCAUGAGUUACUGUGAUUUCCGUGGCCCACGUGAAAUGAGAAAAACC